RNAcentral lists this ribosomal RNA (497 nucleotides) under uncultured bacterium. RNAcentral's name for it is "partial 16S ribosomal RNA". It matches the Rfam family "Bacterial small subunit ribosomal RNA", at positions 28 to 507 of the family's 1533-position model. The record is from RNAcentral.
GAUGAACGCUGGCGGCGUGCCUAAUACAUGCAAGUCGAGCGAACAGAUAAGGAGCUUGCUCCUUUGAAGUUAGCGGCGGACGGGUGAGUAACACGUGGGUAACCUACCUAUAAGACUGGGAUAACUUCGGGAAACCGGAGCUAAUACCGGAUAACAUUUAGAACCGCAUGGUUCUAAAGUGAAAGAUGGUUUUGCUAUCACUUAUAGAUGGACCCGCGCCGUAUUAGCUAGUUGGUAAGGUAACGGCUUACCAAGGCGACGAUACGUAGCCGACCUGAGAGGGUGAUCGGCCACACUGGAACUGAGACACGGUCCAGACUCCUACGGGAGGCAGCAGUAGGGAAUCUUACGCAAUGGGCGAAAGCCUGACGGAGCAACGCCGCGUGAGUGAUGAAGGGUUUCGGCUCGUAAAACUCUGUUAUUAGGGAAGAACAAAUGUGUAAGUAACUGUGCACAUCUUGACGGUACCUAAUCAGAAAGCCACGGCUAACUACGUG